This 191-nucleotide non-coding RNA is filed under the name Bacillota bacterium. RNAcentral's name for it is "Firmicutes bacterium (gut metagenome) 6S RNA". It matches the Rfam family "6S / SsrS RNA". From Rfam's summary of the family: E. coli 6S RNA was the first non coding RNA to be sequenced, but its function was unknown until recently. It consists of 184 nucleotides that fold into an extended hairpin structure with a large single-stranded internal bulge. Lineage: Bacteria; Bacillati; Bacillota. The record is from RNAcentral.
CCUUCCCUACUGUGCUCGUGUCAGGGCAAUUUAUUUAAUCCAACACCGAAUGAAAGGGAGCCUUAUGCUCUUUCAGCAGACUGCAGACCUCCCGGUUUUCCGGACGAAGGGAGCGAGACGCUGCAAGGCGGGCACCCACCUGUCUGUAUAGAUGGGUUUUAUCAUUUGCGCGACGGCAUGGCGGGGAAACA